CUGGCAGUCCUGGAGACUGAAAUCCUUCUGGUUACCCACUGAACAGGUGCAGCACAGAUGGUAGCAGGGCAAGCUUUCCUCCAACACCACCUUGCUAAUGAGUUUAUCCUUGCCCUGAAUGGACCACUCUUUGAGGAUACAUUAGCCUUCAUCCGCCUUGGCUUCUCUGCUGCAAAU
Chrysemys picta bellii (western painted turtle) is the source of this 177-nucleotide unclassified non-coding RNA. The record is from Ensembl. Lineage: Eukaryota; Metazoa; Chordata; Testudines; Emydidae.